AGAGUUUGAUCCUGGCUCAGAUUGAACGCUGGCGGCAUGCCUUACACAUGCAAGUCGAACGGUAACAGGCCGCAAGGUGCUGACGAGUGGCGAACGGGUGAGUAAUGCAUCGGAACGUGCCCAGUAGUGGGGGAUAGCCCGGCGAAAGCCGGAUUAAUACCGCAUACAACCUACGGGUGAAAGCGGGGGACCGAAAGGCCUCGCGCUAUUGGAGCGGCCGAUGUCAGAUUAGGUAGUUGGUGGGGUAAAGGCCUACCAAGCCUACGAUCUGUAGCUGGUCUGAGAGGACGACCAGCCACACUGGGACUGAGACACGGCCCAGACUCCUACGGGAGGCAGCAGUGGGGAAUUUUGGACAAUGGGCGCAAGCCUGAUCCAGCCAUGCCGCGUGCGGGAAGAAGGCCUUCGGGUUGUAAACCGCUUUUGUCAGGGAAGAAAUCUUCUGGGUUAAUACCUCGGGAGGAUGACGGUACCUGAAGAAUAAGCACCGGCUAACUACGUGCCAGCAGCCGCGGUAAU
RNAcentral lists this ribosomal RNA (519 nucleotides) under uncultured bacterium. Its description in RNAcentral is "bacterial SSU rRNA". It matches the Rfam family "Bacterial small subunit ribosomal RNA", at positions 8 to 524 of the family's 1533-position model. The record is from RNAcentral.